Long non-coding RNA from Sander lucioperca (pikeperch), 133 nucleotides. RefSeq lists it as uncharacterized. Lineage: Eukaryota; Metazoa; Chordata; Actinopteri; Perciformes; Percidae. The record is from RefSeq and is a predicted model, not a curated record. The transcript has 3 exons.
GUUCGGUUCGGUGGAAAAAAAUUCUAAGGUUCGGCAGAAACCCAAACCCCGUCAAAAAGCCCAAUAUUCGGCAGAAAUCCAAAGCCAAAUCCUAGAUUCGGUGCAUCCCUGACAAAUCACAUAAGUGUGUGUG